Molecule: ribosomal RNA, 301 nt
Filed under: uncultured bacterium
Lineage: Bacteria
Description: partial 16S ribosomal RNA
Rfam family: Bacterial small subunit ribosomal RNA
Source: RNAcentral
CAGUCGCCGCGGUAAUACGGAGGGUGCAAGCGUUAAUCGGAAUUACUGGGCGUAAAGCGCACGCAGGCGGUUUGUUUAGUCAGAUGUGAAAUCCCCGAGCUUAACUUGGGAACUGCAUUUGAAACUGGCAAGCUAGAGUCUUGUAGAGGGGGGUAGAAUUCCAGGUGUAGCGGUGAAAUGCGUAGAGAUCUGGAGGAAUACCGGUGGCGAAGGCGGCCCCCUGGACAAAGACUGACGCUCAGGUGCGAAAGCGUGGGGAGCAAACAGGAUUAGAUACCCCUGUAGUCCCUGUCUCUUAUAC